RNAcentral lists this ribosomal RNA (248 nucleotides) under uncultured Corynebacterium sp. RNAcentral describes it as "partial 16S ribosomal RNA". It matches the Rfam family "Bacterial small subunit ribosomal RNA", at positions 527 to 773 of the family's 1533-position model. The record is from RNAcentral. Lineage: Bacteria; Bacillati; Actinomycetota; Actinomycetes; Mycobacteriales; Corynebacteriaceae.
GUAGGGUGCGAGCGUUGUCCGGAAUUACUGGGCGUAAAGAGCUCGUAGGUGGUUUGUCGCGUCGUCUGUGAAAUUCCGGGGCUUAACUCCGGGCGUGCAGGCGAUACGGGCAUAACUUGAGUGCUGUAGGGGAGACUGGAAUUCCUGGUGUAGCGGUGAAAUGCGCAGAUAUCAGGAGGAACACCGAUGGCGAAGGCAGGUCUCUGGGCAGUAACUGACGCUGAGGAGCGAAAGCAUGGGUAGCGAAC